This 497-nucleotide ribosomal RNA is filed under the name uncultured bacterium. RNAcentral describes it as "partial 16S ribosomal RNA". It matches the Rfam family "Bacterial small subunit ribosomal RNA", at positions 28 to 507 of the family's 1533-position model. The record is from RNAcentral.
GAUGAACGCUGGCGGCGUGCCUAAUACAUGCAAGUCGAGCGAACAGAUGAGGAGCUUGCUCCUCUGACGUUAGCGGCGGACGGGGGAGUAACACGUGGAUAACCUACCUAUAAGACUGGGAUAAAUUCGUGAAACCGGAGCUAAUACCGGACAAUAUAUUGAACCGUAUGGUUCAUUAGUGAAAGACGGUUUUGAUGUCACUCAUAGAUGGAUCCGCGCCGCAUUAGCUAGUUGGUAAGGUAACGGCUUACCAAGGCAACGAUGCGUAGCCGACCUGAGAGGGUGAUCGGCCACACUGGAACUGAGACACGGUCCAGACUCCUACGGGAGGCAGCAGUAGGGAAUCUUCCGCAAUGGGCGAAAGCCUGACGGAGCAACGCCGCGUGAGUGAUGAAGGUCUUCGGAUCGUAAAACUCUGUUAUUAGGGAAGAACAAAUGUGUAAGUAACUAUGCACGUCUUGACGGUACCUAAUCAGAAAGCCACGGCUAACUACGUG